This is a small nucleolar RNA of Acomys russatus (golden spiny mouse), 134 nucleotides long. The record is from RefSeq and is a predicted model, not a curated record. NCBI's taxonomy places the organism in Eukaryota, Metazoa, Chordata, Mammalia, Rodentia, Muridae.
CCCCUUUUAAAAAGCACUCGGUGGGCCUUUUUGCUGGUGACCCGCCGAGCCGUCAAGAAGGGGCAGAGUGAAAACAGCGCUUUUGGGUGAAGUGGCAACAAGUGUUGUUUGCUUCAAUCGGUGUUGUGACAAGA